This 965-nucleotide ribosomal RNA is filed under the name uncultured organism. RNAcentral describes it as "bacterial SSU rRNA". It matches the Rfam family "Bacterial small subunit ribosomal RNA", at positions 173 to 1169 of the family's 1533-position model. The record is from RNAcentral.
UAUGCUCACGGUGGUUAGCGAGCUGUGAGUGAAACUUCCGGGGCUGAGGGAGUGGGGCUGUGGUCCAUCAGCUAGUUGGUGUGGUAACGGGGCACCAAGGCAAAGACGGGUAGGGGGCCUGAGAGGGUGACCCCCCACACGGGUACUGAGACACGGACCCGACUCCUACGGGAGGCAGCAGUAAGGGAUAUUGCGACAAUGGGCGAAAGCCUGACGCAGCAACGCCGCGUGCGGGAUGACGGCCUUCGGGUUGUAAACCGGUUUUCGGGGGGAAGAGGAAGGACGGUACCCCCGGUAAUAAGUCUCGGCUAACUACGUGCCAGCAGCCGUGGUAAAACGUAGGAGGCAAACGUUAUCCGGAUUUACUGGGUGUAAAGCGCGUGCAGGCGGUUUCGUAAGUCGUGUGUGAAAGCGCUCAGGCUCAACCGGGCGAGGUCAUGCGAAAUUGCGGAACUGGAGGCAGGUAGAGGCGUGUGGAAUUCCGGGUGUAGUGGUGAAAUGCGUAGAUAUCCGGAGGAACACCAGUGGUGAAGGCGACACGCUGGGCCUGACCUGACGCUAAGGCGCGAAAGCAUGGGGAGCGAACGGGAUUAGAAACCCCGGUAGUCCAUGCCGUAAACGAUGCGUACUAGCUGUUGCGGUGUCAAAACUGCAGUGCCGGAGCCAACGUGAUAAGUACGCCACGUGGGGACUACGGCCGCAAGGCUAAAACUCGAAGGAAUUGACGGGGGCCCGCACAAGCAGCGGAGCAUGUGGUUUAAUUCGAGGCUACACGAAGAACCUUACCUGGGCAUGACAUCGCGGUAGUAGGGAAGCGAAAGCGGACCGACCUUCGGGAGCCGUGACAGGUGCUGCAUGGCUGUCGUCAGCUCGUGUCGUGAGAUGUUCGCUUAAGUCCGGUAACGAGCGCAACCCUCGUCGUUAGUUACAAGUGUCUAACGAGCCUGCCCGUUGAACGCGGGAGG